CCCAGACUCCUACGGGAGGCAGCAGUGGGGGAUAUUGCACAAUGGGGGAAACCCUGAUGCAGCGACGCCGCGUGUGGGAAGACGGUCUUCUGGAUUGUAAACCACUGUCCCCAGGGACGAAAAUGACGGUACCUGGGGAGGAAGCUCCGGCUAACUACGUGCCAGCAGCCGCGGUAAUACGUAGGGAGCAAGCGUUAUCCGGAUUUACUGGGUGUAAAGGGAGCGUAGACGGCAGUGCAAGUCCGGAGUGAAAGCCCGGGGCUCAACCCUGGGACUGCUCUGGAAACUGUAAAGCUGGAGUGCGGGAGGGGCAGGCGGAAUUCCUGGUGUAGCGGUGAAAUGCGUAGAUAUCAGGAGGAACACCGGCGGCGAAGGCGGCCUGCCGGACCGUAACUGACGUUGAGGCUCGAAAGCGUGGGGAGCAAACAGGAUUAGAUACCCCCGUAUG
This 448-nucleotide ribosomal RNA is filed under the name uncultured bacterium. RNAcentral describes it as "bacterial SSU rRNA". It matches the Rfam family "Bacterial small subunit ribosomal RNA", at positions 330 to 793 of the family's 1533-position model. The record is from RNAcentral.